Molecule: ribosomal RNA, 1135 nt
Filed under: uncultured bacterium
Lineage: Bacteria
Description: bacterial SSU rRNA
Rfam family: Bacterial small subunit ribosomal RNA
Source: RNAcentral
AAGCCUGAUCCAGCAAAUGCCGCGUGUGUGAAGAAGGCCUUCGGGUUGUAAAGCACUUUUGUUAGGGAGGAAAGUCUGGUAGCUAAUAACUGCUAGAUCUGACGUUACCUAAAGAAUCAGCACCGGCUAACUCUGUGCCAGCAGCCGCGGUAAUACAGAGGGUGCAAGCGUUAAUCGGAAUUACUGGGCGUAAAGGGUCUGUAGGCGGAUUAUUAAGUCGGAUGUGAAAUCCCCGGGCUCAACCUGGGAACGGCAUUCGAUACUGGUAGUCUAGAGUGUGCAAGAGGAUGGGGGAAUUCCUGGUGUAGCAGUGAAAUGCGUAGAGAUCAGGAGGAACAUCAAUGGCGAAGGCACCUUUCUGGGGCAACAUUGACGCUGAGGGACGAAAGCGUGGGUAGCAAACAGGAUUAGAUACCCUGGUAGUCCACGCCCUAAACGAUGUCAACUAGCUGUUCGGCGUCACUCUGGUUGUGGGUGGUGCAGCUAACGCAAUAAGUUGACCGCCUGGGGAGUACGGCCGCAAGGUUGAAACUCAAAGAAAUUGACGGGGGCCCGCACAAGCGGUGGAGUAUGUGGUUUAAUUCGAUGCAACGCGAAGAACCUUACCCGGUCUUGACAUGGUAGGAAUCUUGUAGAGAUACGAGAGUGCCUUCGGGAACCUACACACAGGUGCUGCACGGCUGUCGUCAGCUCGUGUCGUGAGAUGUUGGGUUAAGUCCCGCAACGAGCGCAACCCUUGCCCUUAGUUACCAUCAUUAAGUUGGGGACUCUAAGGGGACUGCCGGUGAUAAACCGGAGGAAGGUGGGGACGACGUCAAGUCAUCAUGGCCCUUAUGACCGGGGCUACACACGUACUACAAUGGUCGGUACAGACGGUCGCAAGCUCGCGAGAGUAAGCUAAUCCGAGAAAACCGAUCGUAGUCCGGAUCGCAGUCUGCAACUCGACUGCGUGAAGUCGGAAUCGCUAGUAAUCGCAAAUCAGAAUGUUGCGGUGAAUACGUUCCCGGGCCUUGUACACACCGCCCGUCACACCAUGGGAGUUUGUUGCAAAAGAAGUAGGUAGCUUAACCGCAAGGAGGGCGCUUACCACUUUGUGGCCGAUGACUGGGGUGAAGUCGUAACAAGGUAACCAAGC